AGAUAGCCCAGAUGGUACAGAGAAAGGAUCGACAAAUAUCCAUACUACUGUUCAAAACGAUCCAGUUUACCUUUCCAAGUCAGAAAGUCAUCAUGUGGAACGUGAGCAAGCAGGAUUUGAAGGAUUCUCUGGGCAUCUUCUUCGGAGAAGGUAUCUUUAAUCAAUUAUGUUUUCCAUGAUCUAGUUGUACUAUCAAUCAGGUCUACUACCUUCGAUAAAUUCUGGUUUCUCACUGUUUUAUCUUAAAUCCAUUAUUUA
Gossypium arboreum is the source of this 258-nucleotide long non-coding RNA. RefSeq lists it as uncharacterized. The record is from RefSeq and is a predicted model, not a curated record. The transcript has 2 exons. NCBI's taxonomy places the organism in Eukaryota, Viridiplantae, Streptophyta, Magnoliopsida, Malvales, Malvaceae.